UAAAAUCAAAUUUUUCAAAUUUUGGUAAUCAAUGAUCUUCCUUGGAAGCUUAUGUCAAUUUGUAUUAAGCUUGACGCCUUAUCAACAUCAAGAUCAUGGCAUCAAGAAAACAUGGACGAUGUGGACCCUGUAAACAGGAUAAAGUAAGCACUAAAGCUGACAUAUGGUUUUACAACUGUGAUGAAGGAUUAUGUUCAACAUGUUCCGGUCAUCAUAAAAGAUUUAAAUCUACAGUUGAUCACAAAACCAUCGAUAUUUAAACUUCUAAAAUAUAUAUACAUCCCAUACGCUCUAUUAAAGCAUAAUGUGACGCACAUGGUGAAAGUUAGACUUGUACUGUCUUAGUCAUUUAAUGCCUUGCUGUGAUGAAUGUAUUGCAAGUCAUCAUUCAAAAUGUACCGGGAUCAAAAGCUUAACAAGAGUAGUGGACGAAACAAAUAUAGAAAAUUCAAAUGAAUCUGUAGAGAAAUAAAUAACCUCCAUCUUACAUUUCUUAAAUAAAAUGGCUAAUGAUAAAUCAAGAAAUAUAAAAAAAGAGGAACACCAAUAUGAAAGCAUUAAACAAUCUAUCAGUAAAAUUCGGAGGGAAAUAAAUCAACAUUUAGAGCAACUAGAGAAGUAGCUAUGCAAAGAAGCUGAUACCACAUGGGAUCGGGAGAAAUCAAAACUAAAAGGCUUUAUAUCUGAAAUUGAAGGAAAAAAGAAAAAGGUAUAAAAUCAGAAAAUUUGCACGCAGGCACAAUACGUACGUCUUAACUACAAACAUUUUGAUGGAUACAUAUUAUUGAACAAAAAGUACAUCAAUAUCGCCAAUAUGUUGAAGAUGUGGAAAGCAAUGAAAGGGGGACGAAAGAUACCAGAGGGACAGUCAAACUCAUAGAUCGAAAACAAACUGACAACGCCAUGGCCAAAAAUAAAAAGACAAACAGACAAAUAAUAGUACAGAUGACACAACAUAGAAAACCAAAGACUAAGCAACACGAACCCCACCAAAAACUGGGGGUGAUCUCAGGUGCUCCGGAAGGGUAAGCAGAUCCUACUCCACAUGUGGCACCUGUCGUGUUGCUUAUGUUAUUACAAAUCUGGAAAAUAGUCUAAUUCGGUAAGUCACAUUCGUGAAAAGGGAGGGUAUUGUAGUUACGACAUAAGGAACAUAUCCGAUAUCAUCUGUGAAACGGUUAUUCCAUAACGGUCAACCAACUCGUGAUGGCGUCCGUAAAAUUAACGAAGGGAUGACUUCAACUUCACCAUUUGGAACUCUUGAGGAGGCUAAUCAAGUUCACGUCCAAAUUAGGCAAAAUGGUGAGACAGAAAAGAUCCUUAGCGAAUUAAAAUCAUUUAAAACCUUUGGGGAUGUAAAAGUUGUUAAAUCUGAUAGAACCAAGAUAAGAGUAACAAGUUGGAACAGGAAAGCACAAGUAGAAUCACGAAAACAAUCUAACAUACACAACAUGACAACGAAUAUCGCGAACAAGACAAAGAUGAACCUUUAGAAGUACAUUAGUGACAUGAUUUGUCUGACAAAUGAAAGAGUUAUAGUAGUUGAAAAAAAAGGUAAACUCAACCUACUUACCUCUGAUGGCAGAAGCAGUUACCUAUAUCUGAUAAGCCUUUCAGUGUCACACAGGUCGAUCAGGAUACUAUUGCCAUAACUUUUCCCGAUAGGAAAGAUAUUAAGAUCUUCAAUAUGUAAACAGAAACUGUAACCAAACUUAUCACAUUAGGCAAAGCAUGCAUGGGAUUAUCAUUCUGCAAUAAUUAUCUUGCUGUUGGUUUGAAUAAAGAUGAAAUCCGCAUUAUAAACUUGGAAGGAAAUAAACUCAAUUCAAUACAAGUUAAGAGUAUAUCAUACCUAGAGUACUUUGUGUACUGUCAUGACAGAGUUAUCUUUACUGACUAUGAUGAUAAAGCAGUAUACUGUUUUGAUGAAUCAGGCGGACAUAUCUGGAAAUAUACAUAAGAUUUAUUAGGACCGCAAGGACUUUGUACAGAUACAUAUGACAACAUUAUUGUAGCAGACUGGAGAUCUCAAAUAAUAAUAGUAAUAUCAAAAGAUGAACAGGAUAGUAAAGUAUUAUUCAGUAAAGAGGAUGGACUUAAUAAUCAAAAAUGUAUUUGGUAUUUACAUAAUGAACCGAACGGUUUCAUUUCUGACAGUAUUGGCAGAUACUUGGCAAAAAUCAAAUGUUCUAAUGGAAUGAAUAUAAACACUGAUCAAUCUUGCUAUUACUAAUAAGAAUACAAAAUCUCCUAAAUUAAAA
Long non-coding RNA from Mytilus californianus (California mussel), 2261 nucleotides. RefSeq lists it as uncharacterized. The record is from RefSeq and is a predicted model, not a curated record. Lineage: Eukaryota; Metazoa; Mollusca; Bivalvia; Mytilida; Mytilidae. The transcript has 2 exons.